Molecule: ribosomal RNA, 173 nt
Filed under: uncultured Gemmatimonas sp.
Lineage: Bacteria; Pseudomonadati; Gemmatimonadota; Gemmatimonadia; Gemmatimonadales; Gemmatimonadaceae
Description: partial 16S ribosomal RNA
Rfam family: Bacterial small subunit ribosomal RNA
Source: RNAcentral
ACGGGAGGCAGCAGUGGGGAAUCUUGCGCAAUGGCCUAACGGCUGACGCAGCGACGCCGCGUGAGGGAUGACGCUCUUCGGAGUGUAAACCUCUUUUGCCUGGAACGAACCAUCAGCAUUUGCUGAUUUGACGGUACCGGGUGAAUAAGCACCGGCUAACUCCGUGCCAGCAG